GGAUUGAAUGGGGGCACCCUGAUCCAGCCAUGCCGCGUGUGUGAAGAAGGCCUUCGGGUUGUAAAGCACUUUCGGACGGAACGAAAUCGCGCGGGUGAACAUCCCGCGUGGAUGACGGUACCGUAAGAAGAAGCACCGGCUAACUACGUGCCAGCAGCCGCGGUAAUACGUAGGGUGCGAGCGUUAAUCGGAAUUACUGGGCGUAAAGUGUGCGCAGGCGGCCGAGCAAGUCGAGUGUGAAAUCCCCGGGCUUAACUUGGGAAUUGCGCUCGAAACUACUUGGCUCGAGUGUGGCAGAGGAAGGUGGAAUUCCACGUGUAGCGGUGAAAUGCGUAGAGAUGUGGAGGAACACCGAUGGCGAAGGCAGCCUUCUGGGCCAACACUGACGCUCAUGCACGAAAGCGUGGGGAGCAAACAGGAUUAGAUACCCUGGUAGUCCACGCCCUAAACGAUGAUGACUAGUUGUUGGGGGAGUUAAAUCCCUUAGUAACGCAGCUAACGCGUGAAGUCAUCCGCCUGGGGAGUACGGUCGCAAGAUUAAAACUCAAAAGAAUUGACGGA
Molecule: ribosomal RNA, 561 nt
Filed under: uncultured bacterium
Lineage: Bacteria
Description: bacterial SSU rRNA
Rfam family: Bacterial small subunit ribosomal RNA
Source: RNAcentral